Molecule: long non-coding RNA, 255 nt
Organism: Pongo pygmaeus (Bornean orangutan)
Lineage: Eukaryota; Metazoa; Chordata; Mammalia; Primates; Hominidae
Exons: 3
Source: RefSeq, a predicted model, not a curated record
GCUACUAGUUUUCAAAGCCUGAAGACCAAAGAUCACAUAGGUAGUUGUUUCAAAGUCGAAGGACCAUAUAGUUGGCCAGGGGACCAAGAGCUCCAGUCGCAGCUCCUUCUUUUCUUGUUGAAUCUGCUUCUCCUGGAUGCGAGCAUUAUCCAAAGCAACUUUCAGCAGACCCUGUCAAGAAAUAUUGUUGACCUGAAUGUUGGUCAACAGAGUCUCCACGGAGGACAGACUAUCGGCAAAAAUGAAUGGUCCAGG